CCCCUCCACCCUCAUUAGAGACAAGAAUGGAAUCGAUGCUUGAGCAGAUUUUGGAAAGCCACACAAAGCUUGUUGUAGAGUUUAAUGGCAAGUUUAAUGCUGUCUACACAGAUCUUAAUGGGAAGAUCGACAAUCUGAGCUCUCGCUUGAAGAAGC
RNAcentral lists this small RNA (156 nucleotides) under Arabidopsis thaliana (thale cress). RNAcentral's name for it is "ATSL091150". The record is from RNAcentral. Lineage: Eukaryota; Viridiplantae; Streptophyta; Magnoliopsida; Brassicales; Brassicaceae.